RNAcentral lists this ribosomal RNA (400 nucleotides) under uncultured bacterium. Its description in RNAcentral is "bacterial SSU rRNA". It matches the Rfam family "Bacterial small subunit ribosomal RNA", at positions 356 to 773 of the family's 1533-position model. The record is from RNAcentral.
CGGGAAUUUUGGGCAAUGGGCGAAAGCCUGACCCAGCAACGCCGCGUGAGGGAUGAAGUAUUUCGGUAUGUAAACCUCGAAAGAAUGGGAAGAAUAAAUGACGGUACCAUUUAUAAGCUCCGGCUAACUACGUGCCAGCAGCCGCGGUAAUACGUAGGGAGCAAGCGUUGUUCGGAUUUACUGGGCGUAAAGGGCGCGUAGGCGGCGCGGUAAGUCACUUGUGAAAUCUCUGAGCUUAACUCAGAACGGCCAAGUGAUACUGCUGUGCUAGAGUGCGGAAGAGGCAACCGGAAUUCUUGGUGUAGCGGUGAAAUGCGUAGAUAUCAAGAGGAACACCUGAGGCGAAGGCGGGUUGCUGGGCCGACACUGACGCUGAUGCGCGAAAGCCAGGGGAGCAAAC